AUACGUAGGGUGCGAGCGUUAAUCGGAAUUACUGGGCGUAAAGCGUGCGCAGGCGGUUUUGUAAGACAGGCGUGAAAUCCCCGGGCUCAACCUGGGAAUGGCGCUUGUGACUGCAAGGCUAGAGUGCGUCAGAGGGGGGUAGAAUUCCACGUGUAGCAGUGAAAUGCGUAGAGAUGUGGAGGAAUACCGAUGGCGAAGGCAGCCCCCUGGGACGAGACUGACGCUCAUGCACGAAAGCGUGGGGAGCAAACAGGAGUAGAUACCCCAGUAGUCC
RNAcentral lists this ribosomal RNA (274 nucleotides) under uncultured bacterium. RNAcentral describes it as "partial 16S ribosomal RNA". It matches the Rfam family "Bacterial small subunit ribosomal RNA", at positions 523 to 796 of the family's 1533-position model. The record is from RNAcentral.